Molecule: ribosomal RNA, 497 nt
Filed under: uncultured bacterium
Lineage: Bacteria
Description: partial 16S ribosomal RNA
Rfam family: Bacterial small subunit ribosomal RNA
Source: RNAcentral
GAUGAACGCUGGCGGCGUGCCUAAUACAUGCAAGUCGAGCGAACGGACGAGAAGCUUGCUUCUCUGAUGUUAGCGGCGGACGGGUGAGUAACACGUGGAUAACCUACCUAUAAGACUGGGAUAACUUCGGGAGACCGGAUCUAAUACCGGAUAAUAUUUUGAACCGCAUGGUUCAAAAGUGAAAGACGGUCUUGCUGUCACUUAUAGCUGGAUCCGCGCUGCAUUAGCUAGUUGGUAAGGUAACGGCUUACCAAGGCAACGAUGCAUAGCCGACCUGAGAGGGUGAUCAGCCACACUGGAACUGAGACACGGUCCAGACUCCUACGGGAGGCAGCAGUAGGGAAUCUUCCACAAUGGGCGAAAGCCUGACGGAGCAACGCCGCGUGAGUGAUGAAGGUCUUCGGAUCGUAAAGCUCUGUUAUUAGGAAAGAACAUAUGUGUAAGUAACUGUGGACAUCUUGACGGUACCUAAUCAGAAAGCCACGGCUAACUACGUG